Molecule: long non-coding RNA, 330 nt
Organism: Oreochromis niloticus (Nile tilapia)
Lineage: Eukaryota; Metazoa; Chordata; Actinopteri; Cichliformes; Cichlidae
Exons: 2
Source: RefSeq, a predicted model, not a curated record
AGCUACUACAAUUUUAACAUCCAUUAUCCAUCUGAGCUGGCUUCCACUCUAGAGUUUCUUCAGAGGUGUUUCUUCUCCAUAAACCCAGAAAAAGGAACCAAAGUAGAGAACAAAAACUCAAAGCGUCGUCUCAGUGUGAACCCUCGAGUCCUCACCCUGAUUCAGGAUAUCGCCGACCACGAGUGGCGCUAAGCCUAAAUCUUGACUCUCUGUGGACUGUUAGUUUUACUUUGUUAAUUUUGUUCCACAAUGUGUACUGAAACCUUUUACUGGUCGAAUGCAUGAAGCCAAUUCAUGAAGAUUUUCUUGCUUUGAAGGAAUGUUCUUUAU